Myotis davidii is the source of this 522-nucleotide long non-coding RNA. RefSeq lists it as uncharacterized. The record is from RefSeq and is a predicted model, not a curated record. The transcript has 2 exons. NCBI's taxonomy places the organism in Eukaryota, Metazoa, Chordata, Mammalia, Chiroptera, Vespertilionidae.
AUUUGUCUCUGGUUCCGGAGAGCCUUCAUUAUUGUCUUCCGUUAUCCAGUCUCUCGCCACCGGUAGCAGAUACUGUUUAUACUUCACUUUUGCUUAUGGACUGAGGACGUUGUACACUCUAAAUGAAUUGAAAAGUCUACAGUUUAUAAGAAGUGUCCUGGAUCGCUGAUAUCAUUCAGACAACCCGCUUAUCUUUCCAUGCUAGGAGAAGAAUAUCGCCUCUUCUGGAAAAUAUGUCACCUUUCUUCAUUCUUGAUGUUUUCAUUUUCAAAUUUGGCGGUAAACCUCUACGCUCCCUAGUAGUCCCACAGACUCUAGUUUUGUUCUGUAGCAGCAAUUCAGCAGUAGAUGUAGCAUUGUAAUAAUUAUCCUGGUAAAUAUGGUGCCAUAUGCCAAGAUAGGGUCCAAGGACUGAAAGAACAGUUUCUUCCAAUUUCCUUCCUUCAGCAGUGUAUAUCUCCAUAUUGCAGAUAUAGCCGGUGUCUCUCUGGCACACCAUCCGAACAAGUAAACCGUAUUUUG